CGGUGUCGCCGCCGCGGCUCGCGUCACACGAGCUCCUUCCACCGCCGCUCUCAAUGCGUUUGCUCCUUUCGUCGUCACACGAGCUUUCUCGGCCGUGCACUUGUCUUACGAGCUCCCUCCGCCGCCACUCUCGCGCUGCUUCUUCUCUCCUCGCCGGAGGUCCACUGAAGGUUACACCAUUUAUGGUCGAGUGAAGAUCCCCAGCAAUUUAGGAACAAAAGACUAUAUAAUUCCCGGAAAAGUGUCGAAUGUCAAAGUCAUACUCAAUGGUGGUCAGA
Molecule: non-coding RNA, 278 nt
Organism: Arachis ipaensis
Lineage: Eukaryota; Viridiplantae; Streptophyta; Magnoliopsida; Fabales; Fabaceae
Source: RefSeq, a predicted model, not a curated record